GCCGACGUAGCUCAGUUGGCUAGAGCGCCUGCCUGUGGAGCAGGAGGUCCCUGGUUCGAGCCCAGGCGUCGGUA
RNAcentral lists this transfer RNA (74 nucleotides) under Phycisphaerales bacterium. RNAcentral's name for it is "tRNA-His". It matches the Rfam family "tRNA". Rfam says of the family: Transfer RNA (tRNA) molecules are approximately 80 nucleotides in length. Their secondary structure includes four short double-helical elements and three loops (D, anti-codon, and T loops). Further hydrogen bonds mediate the characteristic L-shaped molecular structure. tRNAs have two regions of fundamental functional importance: the anti-codon, which is responsible for specific mRNA codon recognition, and the 3' end, to which the tRNAs corresponding amino acid is attached (by aminoacyl-tRNA synthetases). tRNAs cope with the degeneracy of the genetic code in two manners: having more than one tRNA (with a specific anti-codon) for a particular amino acid; and 'wobble' base-pairing, i.e. permitting non-standard base-pairing at the 3rd anti-codon position. Lineage: Bacteria; Pseudomonadati; Planctomycetota; Phycisphaerae; Phycisphaerales. The record is from RNAcentral.